GACAUGUACGGAAUCCUUUAGAGAUUAGAGGAGUGCUCGAAAGAGAGCCGUAACACAGGUGCUGCAUGGCUGUCGUCAGCUCGUGUCGUGAGAUGUUGGGUUAAGUCCCGCAACGAGCGCAACCCUUAUCAUUAGUUGCUACGCAAGGGCACUCUAAUGAGACUGCCGGUGACAAACCGGAGGAAGGUGGGGAUGACGUCAAGUCCUCAUGGCCCUUAUGGGUAGGGCUUCACACGUCAUACAAUGGUCGGUACAGAGGGUUGCCAAGCCGCGAGGCGGAGCCAAUCCCACAAAGCCGAUCGUAGUCCGGAUUGUUCUCUGCAACUCGAGAGCAUGAGGUCGGAAUCGCUAGUAAUCGCAGGUCAGCAUACUGCGGUGAAUACGUUCCCGGGUCUU
RNAcentral lists this ribosomal RNA (396 nucleotides) under uncultured Thiobacillus sp. RNAcentral's name for it is "bacterial SSU rRNA". It matches the Rfam family "Bacterial small subunit ribosomal RNA", at positions 983 to 1382 of the family's 1533-position model. Lineage: Bacteria; Pseudomonadati; Pseudomonadota; Betaproteobacteria; Nitrosomonadales; Thiobacillaceae. The record is from RNAcentral.